GGGCCCUCACCCUCUCUUCCCUUCUCCUCCAAGAGCCACCUUCUCAGACCUUCAUCUUCAUCAUCAUGGGCAUCGCUGGGGGCCUGGUUCUGCUGGGAGCCGUGGCUGGAGCUGUGAUGUGGGGGAGGAGACGCUCAGGUGGAAAAGGAGGGAGCUACACUCAGGCUGCCAGCGGUGACAGUACCCAGGGCUCUGAUAUGUCUCUCUUGGCUUCCAAAGGUGAGACCCUGCCGUGGGGAGGGGAGGGUAGAGGGGAGGACUGGGUGGUGGGGAGUCUGUGGGACACUGUGAGCAUGAAGUGGGCUGUGAGAAUGUCACCAGUUACAGCCACUGACCUGAAUGUGUUCAUGAUGCUUGUCCUCCACAGCGUGAGGCA
This is a long non-coding RNA of Myotis davidii, 376 nucleotides long. RefSeq lists it as uncharacterized. The transcript has 3 exons. NCBI's taxonomy places the organism in Eukaryota, Metazoa, Chordata, Mammalia, Chiroptera, Vespertilionidae. The record is from RefSeq and is a predicted model, not a curated record.